CGGGACGGGUGAGUAACACGUGAGCAACCUGCCUUUCAGAGGGGACAACAGUUGGAAACGACUGCUAAUACCGCAUAAAAUAACGGAACCGCAUGAUUCUGUUAUCAAAGGAGAAAUCCGCUGAAAGAUGGGCUCGCGUCUGAUUAGAUAGUUGGUGAGGUAACGGCCCACCAAGUCGACGAUCAGUAGCCGGACUGAGAGGUUGAACGGCCACAUUGGGACUGAGACACGGCCCAGACUCCUACGGGAGGCAGCAG
Molecule: ribosomal RNA, 257 nt
Filed under: uncultured bacterium
Lineage: Bacteria
Description: partial 16S ribosomal RNA
Rfam family: Bacterial small subunit ribosomal RNA
Source: RNAcentral